This 683-nucleotide ribosomal RNA is filed under the name Nocardia transvalensis. RNAcentral's name for it is "bacterial SSU rRNA". It matches the Rfam family "Bacterial small subunit ribosomal RNA", at positions 56 to 756 of the family's 1533-position model. Lineage: Bacteria; Bacillati; Actinomycetota; Actinomycetes; Mycobacteriales; Nocardiaceae. The record is from RNAcentral.
UGCAAGUCGAGCGGUAAGGCCCUUCGGGGUACACGAGCGGCGAACGGGUGAGUAACACGUGGGUGAUCUGCCUCGUACUCUGGGAUAAGCCUGGGAAACUGGGUCUAAUACCGGAUAUGACCACGAAUCGCAUGGUUUGUGGUGGAAAGAUUUAUCGGUGCGAGAUGGGCCCGCGGCCUAUCAGCUUGUUGGUGGGGUAAUGGCCUACCAAGGCGACGACGGGUAGCCGGCCUGAGAGGGCGACCGGCCACACUGGGACUGAGACACGGCCCAGACUCCUACGGGAGGCAGCAGUGGGGAAUAUUGCACAAUGGGCGGAAGCCUGAUGCAGCGACGCCGCGUGCGGGAUGACGGCCUUCGGGUUGUAAACCGCUUUCGACAGGGACGAAGCGUGAGUGACGGUACCUGUAGAAGAAGCACCGGCCAACUACGUGCCAGCAGCCGCGGUAAUACGUAGGGUGCGAGCGUUGUCCGGAAUUACUGGGCGUAAAGAGCUUGUAGGCGGUUUGUCGCGUCGUUCGUGAAAACUUGGGGCUCAACCCCAAGCUUGCGGGCGAUACGGGCAGACUAGAGUACUGCAGGGGAGACUGGAAUUCCUGGUGUAGCGGUGAAAUGCGCAGAUAUCAGGAGGAACACCGGUGGCGAAGGCGGGUCUCUGGGCAGUAACUGACGCUGAGAAGCGA